UACUAGAAGUUUGGAUCUGGCUCAGGACGAAUUGCUGGUACUGGUAGCUCGCCUAAUAGCAUGCAAGUCGAUCGGAUCAGCUGGCUCGCUUGCUCCCUGAUGUUAGCGGCGGACGGGUGAGUAACACGUGGGUAACCUGCCUGUAAGACUGGGAUAACUCCGGGAAACCGGGGCUAAUACCGGAUGGUUGUUUGAACCGCAUGGUUCAGACAUAAAAGGUGGCUUCGGCUACCACUUACAGAUGGACCCGCGGCGCAUUAGCUAGUUGGUGAGGUAACGGCUCACCAAGGCAACGAUGCGUAGCCGACCUGAGAGGGUGAUCGGCCACACUGGGACUGAGACACGGCCCAGACUCCUACGGGAGGCAGCAGUAGGGAAUCUUCCGCAAUGGACGAAAGUCUGACGGAGCAACGCCGCGUGAGUGAUGAAGGUUUUCGGAUCGUAAAGCUCUGUUGUUAGGGAAGAACAAGUGCCGUUCAAAUAGGGCGGCACCUUGACGGUACCUAACCAGAAAGCCACGGCUAACUACGUGCCAGCAGCCGCGGUAAUACGUAGGUGGCAAGCGUUGUCCGGAAUUAUUGGGCGUAAAGGGCUCGCAGGCGGUUUCUUAAGUCUGAUGUGAAAGCCCCCGGCUCAACCGGGGAGGGUCAUUGGAAACUGGGGAACUUGAGUGCAGAAGAGGAGAGUGGAAUUCCACGUGUAGCGGUGAAAUGCGUAGAGAUGUGGAGGAACACCAGUGGCGAAAGGCGACUCUCUGGUCUGUAACUGACGCUGAGGAGCGAAAGCGUGGGGAGCGAACAGGAUUAGAUACCCUGGUAGUCCACGCCGUAAACGAUGAGUGCUUAGUGUUAGGGGGUUUCCGCCCCUUAGUGCUGCAGUCUAACGCAUUAAGCACUCUCGCCUAGGGGAGUACGGUCGCAGACUGAAACUCAA
This 933-nucleotide ribosomal RNA is filed under the name Bacillus subtilis. Its description in RNAcentral is "bacterial SSU rRNA". It matches the Rfam family "Bacterial small subunit ribosomal RNA", at positions 1 to 904 of the family's 1533-position model. The record is from RNAcentral. Lineage: Bacteria; Bacillati; Bacillota; Bacilli; Caryophanales; Bacillaceae.